CCCUUAGAUGUUCUGGGCCGCACGCGUGCUACACUGAGUGGAUCAGCGGGUCAGGUUGCGCGAAAGCGUUUCCUAAUCUUUAAAUCCGCUCGUGAUGGGGAUUGACGGUUGCAAUUUUCUGUCAUGAACGAGGAAUACCUUGUAAGCGCGGGUCAUCAUCCCGCGCUGAAUACGUCCCUGCCCUUUGUACACACCGCCCGUCGCUCCUACCGAUUGAGUGGUCCGGUGAGGCUUUGGGAUCUGAGCGGAAAGAGCGUUUCGCUGUUUCUGCUCGGAAAACUCAGUCGAACCUUAUCAUUUAGAGGAAGGAGAAGUCGUAACG
This 322-nucleotide ribosomal RNA is filed under the name uncultured eukaryote. Its description in RNAcentral is "partial 18S ribosomal RNA". It matches the Rfam family "Eukaryotic small subunit ribosomal RNA", at positions 1470 to 1796 of the family's 1831-position model. The record is from RNAcentral.